GCGGGAUUUAAUUUCGAGUAUGGCCAGUGAAGGUGAAACAAGGCUGACAACCCUUUCAUUCAGAAAAAAAUAUGUGUAUGCGUCAUUUUUGUGGAUUACAGGAAAAGGCAGUUUUUAAUAUGAAAAAAAUAGGUUUUUUUUGAGAAAUUGCAGCUUUUUGUUACACCCUUCUACCUGUCUGAUCCAAAAUCGGAUCAAAUUUUUCCAACAUC
This 212-nucleotide long non-coding RNA is filed under the name Mytilus galloprovincialis (Mediterranean mussel). Lineage: Eukaryota; Metazoa; Mollusca; Bivalvia; Mytilida; Mytilidae. The record is from RNAcentral.